This 536-nucleotide small RNA is filed under the name Pongo abelii (Sumatran orangutan). RNAcentral's name for it is "retained intron". Lineage: Eukaryota; Metazoa; Chordata; Mammalia; Primates; Hominidae. The record is from RNAcentral.
UCGUCUUGCAUUGGAAGACAGUGAUUGAAACAAUCUUGUAUCUUUUCAGGAAAUAUUGAAAAUGGACACGUGAAGCUCAUUGUUAUACAUUUAAGAAAUAACAGAGAACACCUACCUCUUAUUGGAAAAGUUGGCCUCUCGUGGAAAACUGAUAUUUUUGAUGGCUGUAUAAAGAGUUGUUCCAUGAUGGACAUAACUCUUUUGGAUGAACAUGGGAAACCCUUUUGGUGUUUCAGUUCCCCGGUGUGCAUGAGAUCGCCUGCCACACCCUCUGACAGCCCUAGCUUCUUGGGACAGACAUACAACGUGGACUACGUUGAUGCGGAAGGAAGAGUGCACGUGGAGCUGGUGUGGAUCAGAGAAACCGAAGAAUACCUUAUUGUCAACCUGGUCCUUUACCUUAGUAUCGCAAAAAUCAACCAUUGGUUUGGGACUGAGUAUUAGCAGUAGGUGGCAAAUUAUUGUUGUUAUUUAGUUGUUUAUUUUUGACUGGCUUUGUUCUUGGUGUUGAAAGUUAAAAUAAAGCAAAUCUGCAG